Molecule: ribosomal RNA, 1224 nt
Filed under: uncultured bacterium
Lineage: Bacteria
Description: bacterial SSU rRNA
Rfam family: Bacterial small subunit ribosomal RNA
Source: RNAcentral
AAGUUUGAUCCUGGCUCAAUUGAACGCUGGCGGCAGGCCUAACACAUGCAAGUCGAACGGUAACAUCUCUAGCUUGCUAGAAGAUGACGAGUGGCGGACGGGUGAGUAAUGCUUGGGAACUUGCCUUUGCGAGGGGGAUAACAGUUGGAAACGACUGCUAAUACCGCAUAAUGUCUACGGACCAAACGGGGCUUUUAGCUCCGGCGCAAAGAGAGGCCCAAGUGAGAUUAGCUAGUUGGUAAGGUAACGGCUUACCAAGGCGACGAUCUCUAGCUGUUCUGAGAGGAAGAUCAGCCACACUGGGACUGAGACACGGCCCAGACUCCUACGGGAGGCAGCAGUGGGGAAUAUUGCACAAUGGGGGAAACCCUGAUGCAGCCAUGCCGCGUGCGUGAAGAAAGCCUUCGGGUUGUAAAGCACUUUCAGUUGUGAGGAAAAGUUAGUAGUUAAUACCUGCUAGCCGUGACGUUAACAACAGAAGAAGCACCGGCUAACUCCGUGCCAGCAGCCGCGGUAAUACGGAGGGUGCGAGCGUUAAUCGGAAUUACUGGGCGUAAAGCGCACGCAGGCGGUUUGUUAAGCUAGAUGUGAAAGCCCCGGGCUCAACCUGGGAUGGUCAUUUAGAACUGGCAGACUAGAGUCUUGGAGAGGGGAGUGGAAUUCCAGGUGUAGCGGUGAAAUGCGUAGAUAUCUGGAGGAACAUCAGUGGCGAAGGCGACUCCCUGGCCAAAGACUGACGCUCAUGUGCGAAAGUGUGGGUAGCGAACAGGAUUAGAUACCCUGGUAGUCCACACCGUAAACGCUGUCUACUAUCUGUGUGUGUCUUUAAGACGUGCGUAGCGAAGCUAACGCGCUAAGUAGACCGCCUGGGGAGUACGGCCGCAGGUUAAACUCAAUGAAUUGACGGAGGCCCGCACAAGCGGUGGAGCAUGUGAUUAAUUCGAUGCACGCGAGACCUUACCUACCCUGACAUGCUGAUAGUACUAGAGUAGUUUCGUGCCUUCGGACUCAUACCACGUGCUGCAUGCUGUCGUCAGCUCGUGUCCUGAAAUGUGGCUACGUCCCGCCACGAUCGCAACCCUGUCCUAGUGCAUCAUUAGAUGGGCACUCUAAGGAGCACUGGCGGUGACAACCGGAGCAGGUGGGAGCAACCUUAGUACUCUGUCCCUUCUGUAGGGUUACAUUGUGCUAGCAAUGGGCUUUUAUCCAAGAACGCGCACACCG